Molecule: ribosomal RNA, 759 nt
Filed under: uncultured Lactobacillus sp.
Lineage: Bacteria; Bacillati; Bacillota; Bacilli; Lactobacillales; Lactobacillaceae
Description: bacterial SSU rRNA
Rfam family: Bacterial small subunit ribosomal RNA
Source: RNAcentral
AAAGCAUAGAUAACGAACAGGAUGAAGUACCCUGGUAGUACAUUUCCGUAAACGAUGAAUUAAUAGUUGUUGGAGGGUUUCCGCCCUUCAGUGCCGGAGCUAACGCAUUAAGCAAUCCGCCUGGGGGAGUACGACCGCAAGGGUUGAAACUCAAAGGAAUUGACGGGGGCCCGCACAAGCGGUGGAGCAUGUGGUUUAAUUCGAAGCUACGCGAAGAACCUUACCAGGUCUUGACAUCUUGCGCCAACCUCAGAGAUGAGGCGUUCCCUUCGGGGACGCAAUGACAGGUGGUGCAUGGUCGUCGUCAGCUCGUGUCGUGAGAUGUUGGGUUAAGUCCCGCAACGAGCGCAACCCUUGUUACUAGUUGCCAGCAUUCAGUUGGGCACUCUAGUGAGACUGCCGGUGACAAACCGGAGGAAGGUGGGGACGACGUCAGAUCAUCAUGCCCCUUAUGACCUGGGCUACACACGUGCUACAAUGGACGGUACAACGAGCAGCGAACUCGCAAGGGCCAGCUAAUCUCUUAAAACCGUUCUCAGUUCGGACUGCAGUCUGCAACUCGACUGCACGAAGUCGGAAUCGCUAGUAAUCGCGGAUCAGCAUGCCGCGGUGAAUACGUUCCCGGGCCUUGUACACACCGCCCGUCACACCAUGGGAGUUUGCAAUGCCCAAAGCCGGUGGCCUAACCUUCGGGAAGGAGCCGUCUAAGGCAGGGCAGAUGACUGGGGUGAAGUCGUAACAAGAGCGAGGAUACGAUAA